This 65-nucleotide transfer RNA is filed under the name Chlorops oryzae. Its description in RNAcentral is "tRNA-Glu". The record is from RNAcentral. Lineage: Eukaryota; Metazoa; Arthropoda; Insecta; Diptera; Chloropidae.
AUUUAUAUAGUUUAAAUAAAACAUUACAUUUUCAUUGUAAAAAUAAAAACUUUUUUUUAUAAAUU